Molecule: long non-coding RNA, 481 nt
Organism: Ovis aries (sheep)
Lineage: Eukaryota; Metazoa; Chordata; Mammalia; Artiodactyla; Bovidae
Source: Ensembl
GGGAGAGAGCCUGAGCACAGCAAGCGAGAGACGAGGGGGCGCGGGCGGCCGGGGUCACGCGCGCCGGCAGAGCCUGGAAGCGGCCUCGGUCUAAGGCUUCCUUUGGUGACUCAGAUGGUAAAGAAUCCUGCCAAGCAGGAGACUCAAGUUCAAUCCCUGGGUUGGGAAGAUCCCCUGGCGAAGAGAAAUGGCAACUGACUCUAGUAUUCUUGCCUGGAGAAUCCCAAGGACAGAGGAGCCUGGCAGGCUACAGUCCACGGGGUCACAAAUGGUCAGACAUGCCUGAGCGACUGUUUCUUCCAGGCACUCUCUCCACUAUCUCAGGAGCCUGGACUCUGUCCCUCUCCCCCAGAAUCACUGCUACACCUACAUCUCCCUUGUGGCUGAUGGACAAGCCGAUUGACUGGGGGGCCGGGGAAGGCCCGAGGACAACCUUGGGGAGCAGAAGACACCCCAUUCCCUAACCACUUCCCCUUCCGGC